GAUGAACGCUGACAGAAUGCUUAACACAUGCAAGUCGAUGGGGAAGUGGUGCUUGCACCAUGGCAACCAUGGCGGACGGGUGAGUAACGCGUAAGGGACUUACCUGCAGGACUGGGAUAACAGGGGGAAACUCCUGACAAGACCGGAUAAUGUCAUGGAGCUGCAUGGCUUUAUGAUGAAAGGAGACGCCUGCGGAGAGCCCUGCGUCCUAUUAGCUAGUUGGUGAGGUAAUGGCUCACCAAGGCGAAGAUAGGUAGCCGGCCUGAGAGGGUGGACGGCCACAAGGGGACUGAGAUACGGCCCUUACUCCUACGGGAGGCAGCAGUGGGGAAUAUUGGACAAUGGGGGCAACCCUGAUCCAGCAAUUCUGUGUGCACGAAGAAGGUUUUCGGAUUGUAAAGUGCUUUCAGCAGGGAAGAAGUAAGUGACGGUACCUGCAGAAGAAGCGACGGCUAAAUACGUG
Molecule: ribosomal RNA, 463 nt
Filed under: uncultured bacterium
Lineage: Bacteria
Description: partial 16S ribosomal RNA
Rfam family: Bacterial small subunit ribosomal RNA
Source: RNAcentral